CAUACAUAUCCAUAGUCUAUUCUCUAUUUUUCCUAGAAAACAUUGUGAGCAAUGAUGAGAGCUGGCUCUGAACAAUGACUAGGAAUUAAGUUUAUCAUUAUGGAAGGAUUUUUUCUGUGGUUGGAACCAGAAGUACCAGGGCAUUACAAUUUCUGGAGAGCAUC
RNAcentral lists this long non-coding RNA (164 nucleotides) under Sarcophilus harrisii (Tasmanian devil). RNAcentral describes it as "lncRNA (ENSSHAG00000024645.1)". Lineage: Eukaryota; Metazoa; Chordata; Mammalia; Dasyuromorphia; Dasyuridae. The record is from RNAcentral.